GCCUUCUCUGUCUCUACUAACCAGUACUCAGCAUCUUCAAAAGAUGAUCCCCCUACAAAAGUAAAUGGGUUUAAUCUCUUAUACCUCUCUAUGUAGCUUGGGUCAAUCAUGGGAGGAAUUGGGUCCUGUGGAAGAGGGAUUGGGCCAUGCUGAGGAUAGACUGUGUGGCCCUACGGUGGUACUUGCUGAUACGAUGGGGGC
This 201-nucleotide long non-coding RNA is filed under the name Carica papaya (papaya). Its description in RNAcentral is "long non-coding RNA (CPAP_LNC003243)". Lineage: Eukaryota; Viridiplantae; Streptophyta; Magnoliopsida; Brassicales; Caricaceae. The record is from RNAcentral.